This 466-nucleotide ribosomal RNA is filed under the name uncultured bacterium. RNAcentral describes it as "partial 16S ribosomal RNA". It matches the Rfam family "Bacterial small subunit ribosomal RNA", at positions 339 to 795 of the family's 1533-position model. The record is from RNAcentral.
CUACGGGUGGCUGCAGUGGGGAAUAUUGGACAAUGGGGGCAACCCUGAUCCAGCCAUGCCGCGUGUGUGAAGAAGGCCUUUUGGUUGUAAAGCACUUUAAGCAGGGAGGAGAGGCUAAUGGUUAAUACCCAUUAGAUUAGACGUUACCUGCAGAAUAAGCACCGGCUAACUCUGUGCCAGCAGCCGCGGUAAUACAGAGGGUGCGAGGCGUUAAUCGGAAUUACUGGGCGUAAAGCGAGUGUAGGUGGCUCAUUAAGUCACAUGUGAAAUCCCCGGGCUUAACCUGGGAACUGCAUGUGAUACUGGUGGUGCUAGAAUAUGUGAGAGGGAAGUAGAAUUCCAGGUGUAGCGGUGAAAUGCGUAGAGAUCUGGAGGAAUACCGAUGGCGAAGGCAGCUUCCUGGCAUAAUAUUGACACUGAGAUUCGAAAGCGUGGGUAGCAAACAGGAUUAGAUACCCGUGUAGUC